RNA transcript from Pyrgilauda ruficollis (rufous-necked snowfinch), 5337 nucleotides. It is a transcript of the gene named SS nuclear autoantigen 1, with no coding region annotated. The transcript has 4 exons. The record is from RefSeq and is a predicted model, not a curated record. Lineage: Eukaryota; Metazoa; Chordata; Aves; Passeriformes; Passeridae.
AAGCGCUCGGGUAUUUCCGUGACCCCUCACGGGCCGGCGCGGUCGUUGGCGGGCGCACGGUUAGCCGAGGGCAGCGCGGCCUCGCUGGCAGAGCCGCUCCCUCGGUGGGGAGGAAUCGCGAUCCUGCCAGGCAGAAGGCCAUUGCUGAAAGGGGACUUCAGGGAGUGAGUGCAGGAUGACUCAGCAGGGAGCUGUUCUUCAGGGUUACAAUAAUGAACUAGUGAAAUGCAUUGAAGAUUUAUGUAUGCAAAAAGAAGAACUGAACAAACAAAUCCAGCAAGCAGAAGAGGAAAAGAAUAAACUCCAGCAUGAAAUCCAAGUCCUCAGUGAACAGCUGGAGUGUGUGUGUGAAAACCUGGCCCAAAAAGUGGCUUCACGGAACGAGCUUGAUAAAAUACUUGCUGAAACUGAAGCUGCUUACAUGAAGAUUUUGGAUAGCUCUAGAACUUUACUUAAUGUCCUCAAGAAGGAAGUGGGAAGCUUAAAGCAUUCACCAGAUCUGAAAACCAAUAUAACGUGAAACAGUCAAAUGUUUGGACUCUGCAGUGCUAAAAUUCCACUAGAUUCAGGUUGUUCAAGUUCAAAUACCUGUGACCAAAAAUACAGAUGCCCAAGUUCCACUGAAGCCCACAAGCCUAUAGACCCUGCGUGACAAGGUAUCCCAGCUCCUCAGCAUCCACUUUCACUUUCCAGACCUGCUCUUUUUAAGCCCCUGCUUUGGGACCUGUUGGAGGUGGGGCAGAGGAACAGAAAGAACUUUUAAUGAUAGUUGUCAAUUAAUUACCUUUCAAAGCCUAACCUUUUUCAGGUACCUUGUCUUUAUAGACUGUAUUAUUUUAUCAGGCUGCUUAUUACCUUAUACUAGUGCAAGUAAGACCACCAGGUUUUUUAGGCAUGGAGGCUUCUUGAUGCUUAAAGGUAGUGGGAGGUCUGAAUUCUAGUCCAUCUAUAACAGCAUACAGAGCACAUAUAACAGCAGCAGGCUGUGGGGCAGCCAUAUGCCACUACAGCUUGUUUUGGGUUAAUGGAUUGAAGAGGCAUGGCAAGGGAGGAACUCUAGACCUAAUCUGAAGAGAUGGGGCUCUUCUAUAGUGAGUAUAAGCUAGCUGUAUUAAUUCAGAUUAAGAACCUAGGACAGGUGACCCUUACAGCAGUAUUCAUAUAUUUACAUAUCAUAUCAUAUAUAUGUGUGUGUAUACUCACACAUACAUUAAAAUGUAUAUAUAAAUAUACUCAGCAUUUCCCUAAGUAUGGCGUGUUCUUGGUAGAAAGCUGUCUAAUACUUCAGUAUUAUCUGUCAUUAGAAAAGACAAUUCAAAAACAGGUUGGACAUUAGCAACUUGCAUGAGGUUGUGUACCCUGUUUUUUCAGUAGUCUUCACAGUCUUGCUUCCGCAUAAGGCAUCAUUCGUAGCACCAUUCUCAUCUUCCUCCUGCAACAGCUUUUGUUGCCUCUAUUUCCUAGCUCCUUGUUCACCAUGUGUUUAGUUAUCCCAAGCUGCUGACCAGAAACAUGCUGCUCUUCUGACAUGUGGUGGGUCAGAGGUGCUUUCACUAUCUUGAUAUUGUCCAGACAUGCUCUGGCACACUUGGGAAAAUUGUUUGCAUGAUAAACAGAUUACAUUCAAUUUGACAGUGUCCCAAAAUUUAUGAUUGGAUGGGGUGAUAAUAUUAUAUUCCAGAGAAACAACAGACACCUGAUUCGAGUUUCAUCCUAAAAAAAGGAUGUAGGUCAAAGCAAUGGAUGGAUGGGAAUUUUCCUGAUAUGCCAUGGAGAUUAAAGAACAGAAGUUUAUUGUGUUUGUCAUUGAGUAUAAAUAAUAUUAUCUUCUGCAUAAAUAGGUCUAUAUGAGAUGUUGUAAUUUAAUUUGUAUUAAGACUGUGUUCAGAGUGAUAUGAGUUUGUUUCAGAAGUGUUUUGUCUGUGUUUGAGAAAAGAUUAUAACUUGAAAUUAGAAAGAGGAAAGGAAUAGUGGGCUGGAUCUUGCAGAUAAUGAUCUCAUUGAGGAAGCUGUUAUAGGUCAGCUGUGUCUUCUUCAAAGCUCUGAGUGUGACCUGUAUUGCAAAUUAAUAAAUAUGUGGUAAGACAGAGUGGAGUAUGGCACAGUAAGGCUAUUUGGUAAAAGUUACGUCAAGGCAUUGUAUGUAUUCAGCAACUUUCUUUGCAAUCCUGCUCUAUUUUACAACCUAAUCUAUUCCCCACUAAGAUGUGCUAGAGAUAAACAUUGCAGAUGCCUUUGUGUGCAGAGAAGAAGGAGAAGCAAUUAAAAGUCUGCAUGCUGUGAAGUCUCUGAGUACCAGCAGUGUCUGCACAGACCUUUACAAUGUUUUAGGGAACAGUUGGUUUUCCUGCUGUCUGGGGUGAUCGAACGUAAAUAGUUUUUGAAUGAGGACAGUAACUCAGUUAUUUUCAUGCUGGCUAAAGUCCUGCUGGUUUGCAUAAAGGUUUCCAUUUUUAUUUACUGGUAGCAAAGUCUUGGUGACAAAGUGGUUCCUCCAGAUCAGACGCUGUUUUAUUAGAGUGCAUCAUUUCAUUUCUGAUAAAGAGAGGGCAAACUUCUGAUAAUGUAGUGAAAGAACCUGGGGCAGAGCAGUAUCUGGUGUUGGUCUCCAUCAAAGACAAGGAAAAGCACAAAAGAACAAAACUGCUGGCCAUGGUCUGAAUCAGACUGGGUUGCCUCCAAGAGCAGCAAGUGAGAGGGCUUUUCUUUAUUUUAACUUGCUUCCUCCUACAUCAUUAUUGGGCUAAGUAAAAAAAAAAAAAUUCUUUUGAAUAAUAAUAAAUGGGAUAAUUUGCUUCAAGAAAAGCUAGUUCUACAUAGGAGGCAGCUAAAGCUGCUCCAUGGGACCUUUAUUUAUUUUUUUUGUCAACAAAUUUUCGUAAUGCAAAUUCUAAAAGCAAGCAGCCAUUGUAAGGAAAAGAGGUCAUUGCAGACCUUUUAUACUUCAGUAACUUCACUCCUACAUGCAGAUUCUUGGCUGCAAGUACUGCUUGUCCAAAACAGAUUUUUGGUCUCAGAUUUGUUCAGUCUAAAAUUCCUUUUCUUAUUUUAGAUAAACUUAAUAAAGCAGUAUAUGUUUUUACUUAUAUUGCAUGUAUAUUAUAUAUACGUGUCAUAUAUUACUUAUGUAAGUAUGUUGUUACUUAGGUAUGCAACUUAACCUCUAACUUUUAAGUACGAGGUUUUUCCCACGGUUUACUAUGCCAUGUAUUACUACAUGUGUUACCACACUGAUGUAGCUGGAGUGAGGCUUGGUUCUCAAACAUUAAGAUGACCUUUGAACUUUGAUUAGCUGAUAAGUAUUUUAUAGUUUCGAGUGUUGGCAAAGUCAGAAGCAGCCAAACAUUGGGAAGUGUAACUUGACUUUGCAGAUUUAAAUUAGAAUUUGCAUAUUGCCUUACAUGGAGCUUGCCUUUGUUUCAAGUAAGUUCUGCAUCUGGUUGUGUGGUGGGAGAGCACGGCCAAAUGUUCUAAAGAGCUAUCAAAAGCCACAGAACCAUUUAAAUUGGAAAGAACCUCCCAGGUAGUCAAGUCCAGCCAUUAACCCAGAACUGCCAUGCCCACCACUAAGCCAUGUCCCUAAGUGCCACCUCUAAGUGUCUUUUAAAUAAAUAAUAGCUGCUUGAGCUACUACUCUGCUACACUGGGAUUGUUACAUUGAGAAGCUAUGAUGUAACUUGUAGUUAAAAUAAUCUUAUUAGCAGGAGCACAAAUCCCCUUUAACUAAACUACAGUGUUACUGGAUUUCACAAUGUAAACUUCUGAUUCUUGUGCUGUGGCCUGUAUAAGAGCUAAGAAGGUAACGAAAAAUAAUCUUAAAAUUCUGGAAUGAGUUUUGAGAUACUAGAAUUUAAUAAGUGCCCAAGGAUUUUAUGCCACAAGACUCACUGAAAGUUAGUGGGUCUUGUGCCCUGCUUGCCGUUGCUCUGGUUUUUAACAGUCAGGAUUCUGCAUGCAUUUCUCAGAGGCCUGGUUCCUGAAAGCUGAGCAUGUUCUGUGUCUGUCUUCCCCCUACCCUCUGAAGUUACAUUUCUGUUUCUUGUAAAGAAAAGGCUGAAAGCACAAAAGCAAGUAGAAAGGCUCAGAAAUGCAGAUAUAAACAAUUCUAAAUCUUUUUCAUGAUUUAACAACAGUCUCACACAUCGUGCUUGUGUGUCACUUCGUGAUGUGUGUCUUUUUCAGUGCCUGAAGCUGGUAAUGGUCAAAGUCCUAUUGGAAAUUUCACACCAUGUUAUACUUCAGUCAAGUCAGAUGCAGUGAUGUCUCCAAGAAAGGCCCCGUAAUCUGUGGCUGUAGGACAUAACUGGCUUUCUAUACGUUAAAUUCCUCUCUUAGUACCUUUAUCAACUACACCCAGCUUUCCACAGUCAUUAUGGGUUACUCAAAGCUGUCAGGGAAGCCCCUUUUAAUCCAGCCUCAAUGUGAUCUGCAAGUGUCAGGGAACAAGGUAUGGUUUGGAGAUGGAAUUCUGGAGCUUCCAGGCCAGCAGAAGCUGGAAGCCCUGUGGGAUGGCAGGGGAAGGGAGGGCUGCUGACUCCUGGCAGAGAGAGCAUGCAGCACCAAUACAGCAGCCAGAAGUAUUAACCUGACAUGGUACUUCCCAGAAGCAGGAAUCUUAGAGGAGCAAGCAAUUUCAGGGCUGAAAGAGGCUCCAAGGGAUCUCCUAACAUCACAAUGUAUUUAUUCCCUGCAAGUGAAUGCGGGAAAGGUAGAUGGGAAGAUGACUGAAUAGAAGGGGUUUGUAGUACUUUCAGAGCCUGCUUUGGAGUCUGAAAGGCCAAAAAUAUGAUCAUGACAUCUAGCUGAAGACUGAAGAUGUGAUUUAGAAAUUGAACAGUUUAUCAAACUGAAGCUAAAGAUUGAAGUAAGUAUGCUGUAUAAAGGGUAGGACAAAGACAUUUUAUUUUAAUAAAGCUAACUGAUCAAGAGAGAAUAAGCAACUGACAACAUCCAGAGGAAUUUUUCUGAGAGGAGAACAUCAGAAGCACUGCCAGAAUUGUAUAAUUUUUCAAUCUCUUUUGUUAAAACAUAUAAAUUAGUAUCUAACAUGAAGAAAAAUUUAUCACAAUAGAAAUAAUUGAAUCCUUGGCAAAAUGAACAUGAUUUUUUAUGCCAUUCCACGAUUAUUUUUGACAAAUGCUUUUAAUUUGGCCCAAACAAUAGCAAGGAGGCUUUGUGGGUGUCAUAAUAUGCAAUCUAGACUUGAAUGAUUUGUUUCAGUCAUCAUAAAGAGGGGACAAUAGAGGAAGCAUGACAAAAAUAUAGACAACAAUGAGUAGGGCUGCACAUAAUUUUGGCUCUCCUAUUUUCAUAAUAAAUCUUUGUGGUUUGCUUAAA